GACGAACGCUGGCGGCGUGCUUAACACAUGCAAGUCGAACGGAAAGGCCCCUUUGGGGGUGCUCGAGUGGCGAACGGGUGGGUAACACGUGAGUAACCUGCCCUUGACUUCGGGAUAACUUCAGGAAACUGGGGCUAAUACCUGCUAGGAAUCCUUGCUGCAUGCUGGGGGGUGGAAAGCUUGUGGGGGUUUGGAUGGACUCGCGGCUUAUCUGUUUGCUGGUGGGGUAGGGGGUUACCAAGGCUUUGACGGGUAGCCGGCCUGAGAGGGCGACCGGCCAAAUUGGGACUGAGAUACGGCCCAGAAUCCUACGGGAGGCAGGAGUGGGGAAUAUUGCACAAUGGGCGGAAGCCUGAUGCAGCAACGCCGCGUGCGGGAAGACGGCCUUCGGGUUGUAAACCGCUUUCAGCAGGGGCGAAGCUUGUGGUGACGGUACCUGCAGAAGAAGCACCGGCUAACUACGUG
Molecule: ribosomal RNA, 465 nt
Filed under: uncultured bacterium
Lineage: Bacteria
Description: partial 16S ribosomal RNA
Rfam family: Bacterial small subunit ribosomal RNA
Source: RNAcentral